Symphalangus syndactylus (siamang) is the source of this 1727-nucleotide long non-coding RNA. RefSeq lists it as uncharacterized. Lineage: Eukaryota; Metazoa; Chordata; Mammalia; Primates; Hylobatidae. The record is from RefSeq and is a predicted model, not a curated record.
CCGGGCUGCAGUGAAGGGGGCGGAGUCUGAGGACAUUACUGGAGGGUUCGGCUCUCGAACCUGGGGUCUUGAAGAGGCCCGCGCUUGGGGUUUUUAGGCAACAGCAGGCCUCCAAGCAAAGAGUCCUGCUGUCCCGGACCGAAUCACUCCCCGAGCGACGGGCAAGGAGAUGGACCGCAAGCCAGGAAUAAUGGGAACCCUUCGCUGGGCAAACGAUAGUUUCCAAACUUAAGGUUGUGGAUGAAACAUUUUGGUGCGGCUGCUGCAGGGGCCUCAGCCCCGGGGUGCUGACCCGAGGCAAGGGAGCCGGCGCACGCACGCUUAGCCGCUAAGGAGCCUGCGGUGUCGGCGAAAGCUCCGGACAUGAUUUUGGAAAGUCGUAGAGUCUCAUUCUAUGGCCCAGGCUGGAGUGCAAUGUCACAAUCUCGGAUGCAACCUCCACUUCCAGGGUUCAAGCAGUUCUCCUGCCUCAGCCUCCCGAGUAGCUGGGAUUACAGGCGGAGUUUUGCUCUUCUUGACAAGGCUGGAGUGCAAUGGUGUGAUCUCGGCUUACUGCAACCUCCGCCUCCUGGGGUUCAAGUGAUUCCCCUGCCUCAGCCUCCCAAGUAGCUGGGAGUAUAGGCAUGUGCCACCACACCCAGCUAAUGUUUGUAUUUUUUAAAUAGAUGCGGGGUUUCUCCAUGUUGGUCAGGCUGGUCUCGUACUCCCGACCUCAGGUGAUCCACCUGCUUCAGCCCCCCAAAGUGCUGGGAUUACAAGCAUGAGCCACUGCGCCUGGCCUGUCAUAAAUUUUAAAAAUCAUAAAGGAUGUAAUUUCUGGCAUAGUAUAAUUAUUGUUAUUAUUUAAUGAAACUUUCAUGUUUCUCAUGUAAAUAUACCCAGUUGAAUGUAACUCUGAUAGCUACCAUCAACUAUUUAUAAGAUAUCUGAACAUUUAAAAGCAGACAUUUUACAUCACUAUUUCUUCUGGAAACUUUAUUUCCAUUCUUUACGGAAUUUUUUCCCAAUGUAAUUUGCAUUUAUAAUGGAAAGGCAUAUUGAUAAUGUAUCAUCAUCUGCAAUAAAAAUAUAUUAAUUUUUAAAAAUUUCCUGGAAGAAAAAUGUUACACUUAUUCUUUUGGGUUAUCUUUCAGUUAUUACAAAGUUGAUUACAACAACAUGAGUAAGUCUUAAGCUUUGAUUAAAAAUUAUAGGACAAAAAAAUUUUUUAUUGAAAAUAGAGUUCUUAAAAAGAUGCUUGGUAUAAAUAAGUCAUGCUUCCAUUCAUGACAGGACUAGUUAAAAGGAUAAGAUUUGUAUGUCUCUGUCUCUUGUAAAAUUGAAUCAUCAAUUCUUAAGAAGCAAAACCAGGAUAUAUAAGUAUUACAUAAUAUGCCCAGAAAGUGAUGUGAACAAAAUUCAGACGUACGUUGAAGCUCCCAUUUUAAGAAUCACUCAUAUGACAAAUGUCAUCUUUUGCUAUAUAACCUUUGCUUAAAUUGGAGAAAAGAUGGAUUUAAUGAGACAAAUGAAAAGUGGUUUAACGUAACACACAGCAGAGCAUAUGCUGUUAUGCUUUGGUGUUUCUUCCCUAGUCCUUGUUCCUCAUAAUAGAUUCUGGGAUGUUUCAAAAAUGCUGUAACUUUUUUUGCUAAUUGUGGUCUUAACAAAAAUUGUUCUUGGUUUAAAAAAAUAUGGAUAGGAUUGGUUAUUGGACUUUGAUAUUAAAUACAGUUUUAGUGAUAGUA